GGCGACCGCUAUUGGAGUUCGAUUAAGACAUGCGAGUCAGAGCACUAGCUCGGCAUACCGCUCAGUAACACGUGGGUAACCUGCCCUAUUGUUUCGAAUAACCUCGGGAAACUGAGAACAACACGAUAUAGUCCACUACGCCUGGAACGGUGAGUGGAUAAAGAUAGGAUGGGCCUGCGGCGUAUCAGGUCGUAGGGGGUGUAAAGGACCUCCUAGCCAUCGACGCGUACGGGUGUUGGGAGACAUAGCCCGGAGAUGGAUUCUGAGACACGAAUCCAGGCCCUACGGGGCGCAGCAGUUACGAAAACUUGGCAAUGCGGGAAACCGUGACCAGGGAACUCCAAGUGGCUGUCCUUUUGGGCAGUCUUUUCUUGACUCUAAAACGGUCUUGGAAUAAGGGGUGGGUAAGGACGGUGCCAGCCGCCGCGGUAAUACCGGCGCCUCAAGUGGUCGUCGCUUUUAUUGGGCCUAAAACGUCCGUAGCCGGUUUGGUACAUUCGUGGGUAAAUCAGCUCGCUCAACGAGCUGAAUUCUGCGAGCACGGCCAGACUAGGGACCGGGAGAGGUGUGGGGAACUCUCAGGGUAGGGGUAAAAUCCUGUCAUCCUGAGAGGACCACCUGUUGCGAAGGCGCCACACUAGAACGGAUCCGACGGUCAGGGACGAAGCCUAGGGGCACGAACCGGAUUAGAUACCCGGGUAGUCCUAGGUGUAAACGCUGUGGACUUGGUGUUGGGGGCGCUCCGAGCGCUCUCAGUGCCGUAGCGAAGGUGUUGAGUCCACUGCCUGGGGAGUACGGUCGCAAGGCUGAAACUUAAAGGAAUUGGCGGGGGAGCACCGCAACCUGAGGAUUGUGCGGUUU
This 861-nucleotide ribosomal RNA is filed under the name uncultured archaeon. RNAcentral's name for it is "bacterial SSU rRNA". It matches the Rfam family "Archaeal small subunit ribosomal RNA", at positions 21 to 903 of the family's 1478-position model. The record is from RNAcentral.